UAGAGUGACGCGGAGGCGGCGGAAAGGACCGUGAGAAGCGAAUAAGCGGCAGAGCUUUUAUCGUCUAGAUUAGAGGGCUAACACGAGCGGCGAAGGAGUGGGAGUGGUCCGCGUAGGCUGAUCUAGGAGGCGACCAUUUCGUCGCAUUCAGUCUGGUCAGCCUCUCUAAGCUAGUCAACCUGAAACCUCUCCUACUUAUGAGCCAAACACUUAAACUAUCACGUCCUGAACUCGGCAGCGUACAUAAGCGACGUAGCAGACCUAGGGAACUUCAUGGAGAAGAUAGGCAGUUGUCUUCGUGCUUUUCGUCGUGAUCGUUUUUGCCUCUUCUUGUUUGGUGGAUACGAUCUCGCGAACAGCCAAGACGGAUUCGGCCUUUAGUUAAAAGUAGGGUACAGAUCAAAUUGUGUAUCAUCAUACUUGUCCCUAAGCAAGAGAGAUGAACCUUUUCUGUCAUAACAAAAGUCACUGAGGAAAUCAUUCUGUUAUGAGAUGUUGUAACUCGACCCUUGACAACGUUCGUAGGGAGCAUAGUUAAGUACGUACCAAGGAAAACCGUACUCGGAGGGGUACUAGGUUCUGUUAGAACAACUGGCCUGUCUUCUAGUUAGAGAGAUACAAUACCUGGACAGUGCACUGCGGUUGUAGUCGUCGACGAAGCUCCAGGAAUCUACGCUGCUACCAACCCCGACCGUAUGAAACGGCCGCGGCGGUAAGGAGAGAGUGUUAGGAAGGAAGACUUCUUGGUAGUUGUCCACAACGAUGUGUCACCAGCUGUCGAGGUGGUAGACGUAUAGUAGAUACCUAGUCCCGUAUCCGUGCAUGUGGAAGCUGUGUCGCUCAGCACAUACCUCUGUCCAACCGUUUACCCAUGAUGGGAAGAUACCGUUUCGACUCAUACAGGGACUCGAGUUUGAGACCAAACCGGAGAGUCUUACGUUACCGAGAGGGUCCAAUACGCGGGACCUGGAGAGACGGUACCUGCGACUCGUCGGUGGUUGUGACGUCUUAUGAACCCUAAUAGAACUAGACAAACUCCUAUUCUUCUGCCACUAUAGACUUGUGGUAGACCAAUUGAACCCGAGACCGUACAAAACGUAACGGUGCGAGGAAUCCUGAUAAGACGUGUGUAAAUCGGGUCUGAGGGGUACGAGAAGUCCACUCCUUUAAUACUACCUAUACUACCUACCCCUCAAAUAAAAGAAUUGACCACACCUUCACCUCUCUACGACGUUGCUUCCAGUCCGAGGAAAGUUCUACUAGUUCGUGUUCAGAUAUAUAAUACUGAACUUUGUGGCAUGGUAUUUCAGGCACGAGAUUCGUUCAAAAACCCAGUGUACCUACGACGAGGAACCGUGCGAAGAGGGUGUAAGUGAGAACGGUACCGUUCAGGAACCUUAUUGAGGCUACCUGGAAUCAUAACAUCGCACGAUAUCUAGUAAAACACCAGAAUAAUAAAAUAACCAAUGACGAAGUUUCCGAACGGAUUAAAUAGACAUGCGAAACAAACAAAAUUCCUUUACAUACUCUGCGAGUCACUAAAAGUAAAAACGACAAUAAAAGAUAGUCAGGUCAAUUGAUGAGG
This 1585-nucleotide ribosomal RNA is filed under the name Triticum aestivum (bread wheat). Its description in RNAcentral is "partial small subunit ribosomal RNA". Lineage: Eukaryota; Viridiplantae; Streptophyta; Magnoliopsida; Poales; Poaceae. The record is from RNAcentral.